CAAAGAAUAAUCCCACCCACUGCUCAACUACCACCCCUGUUUGUUACAGACCCGAUGCCCUUGGCUGAUGGAGGAACUGCAUCUGGAGGACGACCAUGAAUCUACCUGCCAACAGGUGGUACUGGUUUGCACUGGUUUGCAUGAACUGAACAUGGUGGACAUGAGGCAAAUUCCCUGCUUUUUGCUCCAGACCAGGACUCUGUGAUGGAGGGGGGCUGAUAGAGCCGUGCUGAGGACCCGCUGGUGAAGGACGUCCCUCGUGGGGGGGGGCAAGGACAGCCGACCCUGAGGAUCCGCUCGGAUCUACGAUCGCUACGAUGCGACUGCAGAGGUCUCUGGAAGACCUGGAGUCCUUGGCUGAGGAGAGCUGAUGGAGGAGCCGUGCACCUGGAGAACCAUGAGUCUGCCUGCCAACAAGUAGUACUGGAAGGCAGGGCAUAGGGAGGUGAUGGAGGACCUGCCUGGUGAAGGACGUCAGGGUGGGGCGAGUGACACCCGACUCCAAGGGGAUAUCCACUGAGGAGAGAGCUGAAGGAGCCAUGCAUCUGGAAGGUGCAGUUGAAAUGCUGUGUCCAGUCUGGGACACACACCUGAGCUGCGUCAAACCUGUAUUUCUGACCAGCUGGAGUCCCUUAGUGAUCAACAACCGCCACUCAUCGCUGGCCUGUGGAUUCAUCUCCUUCACACUCACACAACGUGACCUUGGCCUGUGGAUUAAUCUCCUUCACACUCACACAACGUGACCUUGGCCUGUGGAUUCAUCUCCUCCACACUCACACAACAGGACUUUGGCCUGUGGAUUCAUCUCCUCCACACUCACGCAACGUGACCUUCUCACCAUCUGUUGCACGUUUGGAUGCACCUAGCGUGUUCCAUCGAGGGUU
Long non-coding RNA from Gadus macrocephalus (Pacific cod), 884 nucleotides. RefSeq lists it as uncharacterized. The transcript has 6 exons. The record is from RefSeq and is a predicted model, not a curated record. Lineage: Eukaryota; Metazoa; Chordata; Actinopteri; Gadiformes; Gadidae.